CAUAGAAUGCAGUCGAACGGACUUAAUCGAUUCUUUUAGAUUCGAAGCGGUUAGUGGCGGACUGGUGAGUAACACGUAAGCAACCUGCCUGUUAGAGGGGAAUAACAGUGAGAAAUCACUGCUAAAACCGCAUAUGCCGUGAACAUCGCAUGAUGAAAACGGGUAAAGAGCAAUCUGCUAAUAGAUGGGCUUGCGUCUGAUUAGCUAGUUGGUGUGGUAAAGGCAUACCAAGGCAACGAUCAGUAGCCGGACUGAGAGGUUGAACGGCCACAUUGGGACUGAGAUACGGCCCAGACUCCUACGGGAGGCAGCAGUCGGGAAUAUUGCGCAAUGGAGGAAACUCUGACGCAGUGACGCCGCGUAUGGGAAGAAGGUUUUCGGAUUGUAAACCAUUUUAGACAAGGAAGAAACAAGACAGUACUUGUAGAAUAAGCUCCGGCUAACUACGUGCCAGCAGCCGCGGUAAUACGUAGGGAGCAAGCGUUAUCCGGAUUUAUUGGGUGUAAAGGGUGCGUAGACGGGAAGGUAAGUUAGUUGUGAAAUCCCUCGGCUCAACUGAGGAACUGCGACUAAAACUGCUUUUCUUGAGUGCUGGAGAGGAAAGUGGAAUUCCUAGUGUAGCGGUGAAAUGCGUAGAUAUUAGGAGGAACACCAGUGGCGAAGGCGACUUUCUGGACAGUAACUGACGUUGAGGCACGAAAGUGUGGGGAGCAAACAGGAUUAGAUACCCUGGUAGUCCACACCGUAAACGAUGGAUACUAGGUGUAGGGGAUAUUAAGUCUUCUGUGCCGUCGCAAACGCAGUAAGUAUCCCACCUGGGGAGUACGGCCGCAAGGU
This 837-nucleotide ribosomal RNA is filed under the name uncultured bacterium. Its description in RNAcentral is "bacterial SSU rRNA". It matches the Rfam family "Bacterial small subunit ribosomal RNA", at positions 48 to 894 of the family's 1533-position model. The record is from RNAcentral.